CUGUAAUAUUAGUAAUUGGUACAUGUGUAAUUUCUUAUUGUACUGGAAUUGGUGUAACAGUUGGUACAUGUGUAGUUUCUCAUACUGGUAUUACUUUAGCAGUUGUAAUAGACACAUAUGACUGUAAUAAUAGGCACAUGUGCAUUUUCUCAUUUGCUGCAAAUAUUGUUAUUGACAAUGUGCAUUUUGUUAUUUGCUGUAACUAUUGUGUUUUUCUCAGGAACAUAUUACGAAAGAAGGCAACCAUUUUAACUGUAUAUACAUGCACAUGUAUAUAAAACAUCACAAAGUGCCUGUCUAUUUUAAUUUGUUCCUCCAUGUUGGUGCUAUUUCAUUUUCACUUGAGUUACAUAUUAUUUAUUUUCAUUACUCAUCUGAGCAUUUAAUGAUUGUUUGUACAAGAGCCUUUUUUGAUAUUUUGUGAAAUGUAUUUGUACCCAUGCUGAUCAAUGGAGAAAUGAAGGAGAAUUCAGACACAUGAUGUAUUAGAUUCUUGGAACUAAACAUAAGAAUAGAUAUAUAAUGUAAAUUGCUGUUGAUUCAUUUAUUUUCGUGGGUUCCAGAUUUUGUGGAUUUAGGGAAAUAGUAUAUUAGUGUUUAGUUGAUUUCUUGGUUUACCAAAGUCUGCAUACAAUCCUAUUGAUAGAUAAUUUGCACUUCACUGAACAUUCAAAUUUGUGAUUUAUCUUAACCCAUCAAAUCAACUUAAAUUGGUCACUGAUGAAUAUUAAUCAGCAUAGAUUAUAUUUAGGUAUUUAUAGACACUGCCAUUGUUUAUGCCUCUAUUUUCUCAGAGUAGACAGGUUUCAGUGGCAUUUGUGUGGUUUGUUGUACUAUCUAUUUUUUUUUUGGUUGUUAAUGUUAUCUUUAAUGCCUUAUUUUUUUUACCCUUGUCUGUUGUCAAAAUACAGUGGAUUCAUUUAUUUUCGUUGGUACACAUUUUCGUGGGUAACAAUUUUCAUGGAUUAAAGAAAACUUGCAUGUUCCUGGAUAUUUCAUUAAUUUGUUUUGAAGAAUUUUGCAUACAAGUGUACUGGAAAUUUGUCAUUCCCACAAAAUCCAUGAAAUUGAUAUCCAACAAAUCCAUGAAUCCACAGUACAUUCAUUUCUUGUCAAAAGGAAUACCAGGUACAUUCAUUUCUUGUCAAAAGGAAUACCAGGUACAUUCAUUUCUUGUCAAGGAAAGGAAUUCAUUGUCAGGAUACAGGUAUUCAUUUCUUGUCAAAAGGAAUACCAGGUAUAUGUAAGCCAUUUUGAUUGAAAAUGAAUACCACAAAGUAUCUGUAAUGUUAAGAAUACCUUUUUGUAUCUAAAAGAAACUAAUAAAAACCGUUGCAUACUGAUUUAGUCAAAAUUAUAUACAUUUGCACAUUAGCCUCAAAUUGGAAC
Molecule: long non-coding RNA, 1389 nt
Filed under: Mytilus galloprovincialis (Mediterranean mussel)
Lineage: Eukaryota; Metazoa; Mollusca; Bivalvia; Mytilida; Mytilidae
Source: RNAcentral